This 100-nucleotide transfer RNA is filed under the name Escovopsis weberi. It matches the Rfam family "tRNA". Rfam says of the family: Transfer RNA (tRNA) molecules are approximately 80 nucleotides in length. Their secondary structure includes four short double-helical elements and three loops (D, anti-codon, and T loops). The record is from Rfam by way of RNAcentral. Lineage: Eukaryota; Fungi; Ascomycota; Sordariomycetes; Hypocreales; Hypocreaceae.
GCUCUCGUAGCUCAGUUGGUCAGAGCUUCGUACUAAUACUUGGGUUUCCAUUCAAGUCUUGGUCAUGCGGAGGUCGCAGGUUCAAGCCCUGCCGAGAGCA